This 379-nucleotide ribosomal RNA is filed under the name uncultured eukaryote. Its description in RNAcentral is "partial 18S ribosomal RNA". It matches the Rfam family "Eukaryotic small subunit ribosomal RNA", at positions 592 to 976 of the family's 1831-position model. The record is from RNAcentral.
CAAUAGCGUAUAUUUAAGUUGUUGCAGUUAAAAAGCUCGUAGUUGGAUUUCGGAUGGGAUUUGCCGGUCCGUCGUUACGAUGUGCACUGGCCAGUCCCAUCUUGUUGUCGGGGACUAGCUCCUUGGAUUCACUUCCUGGGACUAGGAGCUGACGAGGUUACUUUGAGUAAAUUAGAGUGUUCAAAGCAAGCCUACGCUCUGAAUACAUUAGCAUGGAAUAACACGAUAGGACUCUGGCUUAUCUUGUUGGUCUGUGAGACCAGAGUAAUGAUUAAGAGGGACAGUCGGGGACAUUCGUAUUUCAUUGUCAGAGGUGAAAUUCUUGGAUUUAUGAAAGACGAACUUCUGCGAAAGCAUUUGUCAAGGAUGUUUUCAUUAA